Molecule: ribosomal RNA, 560 nt
Filed under: Rhizobium sp.
Lineage: Bacteria; Pseudomonadati; Pseudomonadota; Alphaproteobacteria; Hyphomicrobiales; Rhizobiaceae
Description: bacterial SSU rRNA
Rfam family: Bacterial small subunit ribosomal RNA
Source: RNAcentral
UUCCUGCGGAAUAGCUCUGGGAAACUGGAAUUAAUACCGCAUACGCCCUACGGGGGAAAGAUUUAUCGGGGAAGGAUUGGCCCGCGUUGGAUUAGCUAGUUGGUGGGGUAAAGGCCUACCAAGGCGACGAUCCAUAGCUGGUCUGAGAGGAUGAUCAGCCACAUUGGGACUGAGACACGGCCCAAACUCCUACGGGAGGCAGCAGUGGGGAAUAUUGGACAAUGGGCGCAAGCCUGAUCCAGCCAUGCCGCGUGAGUGAUGAAGGCCUUAGGGUUGUAAAGCUCUUUCACCGAUGAAGAUAAUGACGGUAGUCGGAGAAGAAGCCCCGGCUAACUUCGUGCCAGCAGCCGCGGUAAUACGAAGGGGGCUAGCGUUGUUCGGAAUUACUGGGCGUAAAGCGCACGUAGGCGGAUAUUUAAGUCAGGGGUGAAAUCCCGCAGCUCAACUGCGGAACUGCCUUUGAUACUGGGUAUCUUGAGUAUGGAAGAGGUAAGUGGAAUUCCGAGUGUAGAGGUGAAAUUCGUAGAUAUUCGGAGGAACACCAGUGGCGAAGGCGGCUU